Molecule: ribosomal RNA, 119 nt
Filed under: uncultured bacterium
Lineage: Bacteria
Description: partial 16S ribosomal RNA
Rfam family: Bacterial small subunit ribosomal RNA
Source: RNAcentral
AAAGCUUUAUGCACCAUUGGAUGAGCCUGCACUUGAUUAGUUUGUUGGUGGGGUAAUGGCCUACCAAGACUUUGAUCAAUAGCUGAUUUGAGAGGAUGAUCAGCCACAUUGGGACUGAG